CUAGGUUUUCCUAUUUUUCCAAAAUCGUCGCCUUCUUCUUUAGCAGAUGAGAGUGAAAAAGCAGAAGCGGCAUAGGAGGGCUGUGAGGUUUUACACAGCUUGUUUCGGGUUUAGAGAUCCAUUUAAAAUCCUUUGUGAUGGAACAUUUGUGCAUCAUCUUAUUGUUAAUCGCAUAACACCUGCUGAUACUGCGUUGGCAAAUAUUCUAGGCGCCACAGUUAAACUUUUUACGACCAGAUGUGUUCUUGCAGAAUUGAAGAGCCUUGGUGCUUCCUAUCGGGAAUCACUGAAUGCAGCUAAUAUCCUUUUUACUGCACGAUGUGAUCAUGAGAAUCGUAAAAGUGCUGUAGAUUGCAUAACUGAAGUUAUUGGGGAGAACAAUUCUGAACACUUUUUUGUUGCUACUCAAGAUGCUGACUUGCGGAGAAAUCUUCAAAAGAUACCUGGUGUGCCUCUAAUUUAUGCUCUAAGGAAUGCCUUAUUUCUCGAACAACCAUCGCCAUUUCAGCGUCAGUUUGCCAAAUCUGCUGAAGAAGAACGUCUUCAUAUGACUGACUUGGAGUACAAUAUGCUUAGUCAUAGGAAAAAAAGGAGAUUGUCUGAUGACCAAGAAGGGGAUUCUUCUGAUGCACCAGAGGAAGAGGUGGAUGAUUUUUCACAGGUUCAGACUAUCAAGAGGAACGGAAGUGAUGUCAAGGAUAAAGUUCGCUUCAAGAGAAAGAAAGCUAAGGGUCCAAAUCCACUCUCAGUCAAGAAGAAAAAGAAAUCUUCAGAUACAAAUGUUUCUUCCUUGGGAAAGGAAAGUAAGAAUGUCGAGGGAACUGUGAGAAGCAGGAAGAAAAGGAAGAGGUCGCGCAACAAAACUGUUGUAGAAGGAAAUGUUAAGUGUUGAAGGCAUCCACUAAGAAAUCUUCGCCCGACUGGUUUUGUAAUAUCAGGAGGAAUUUUGAGAGGAGAACACCAAGGAUCUAUUGCUAAUGUAAUCAAUUUUGAGAAUGGAUUUGGUCCAGGAAAGGGUCCCACCACGAGGGUGUAUUUGUACGCAGCCUUACCUUGCAUUUCUGUCAGCGGUUGUUUUCAAGACUUGAACCCGUGACCUCCUUGUCACAUGGCAUCAACUUUACUAGUUAUUUCAAGGCUCCCCUUCCUGCACAGGAUUCGAGGAUGGGUCGGGUCGGACCUAGUAUACUUCUAUAAUGAAAUUGUGUUAAUGUCAGUUCAUUACAUUUGGAAAUUAAACACUAAUCUAUCUUCAAAUCUUAGAGGCCAUUGAUAAAGUCGCCGUCACGUGACUAGGAGGUUACAGGUUUUGAGUCGCGGAAACAACUUUUGAUAGAAAUACAAGGUAAGACUGCGUAGAAGCGCCCCAUUUGGUUUGAUCUUUUUUUGAAUCUUGUGCAUAGUAGGAACUUUAGUGCAUCGCGAUACCCCAACCUUCAAAA
This is an RNA transcript of Capsicum annuum, 1442 nucleotides long. It is a transcript of the gene named rRNA-processing protein UTP23 homolog, with no coding region annotated. NCBI's taxonomy places the organism in Eukaryota, Viridiplantae, Streptophyta, Magnoliopsida, Solanales, Solanaceae. The record is from RefSeq and is a predicted model, not a curated record. The transcript has 9 exons.